Molecule: long non-coding RNA, 454 nt
Organism: Cyprinus carpio (common carp)
Lineage: Eukaryota; Metazoa; Chordata; Actinopteri; Cypriniformes; Cyprinidae
Exons: 3
Source: RefSeq, a predicted model, not a curated record
AUUUUACUCAUCGUGGGAAAUCAUAGGGUUCUAUGUAAUACCACUUUUUCUCCAAUUCUGUUCCCAUGAAGAACAUUUUUGAAAUCGAGCAAGAAUAGUGCAGGGAUCCGUGCAUUUUCGGCAACAUUAUAAGUAAUGUUUAAAUUUUGCUUGAAAAUGUCUGAUAAUGAAAUGCUGCCCUGCAGCGCUACAUUGACGAGGUCACGCAUAUGUACUCCUGUACGCCCAUUAAUGACACUGAUUACAGUCUGGGUCUGGUACUUCCUCCGUACAGUCAAUAUUACAUCCAGGCUGAUCUCAGCGAUGUCAUGCUGCAGCUGCAGUAUUUACAGUCUCUGCUGCCGAACUCGUUUGAGUCGGCUGGACACGUGUUUCUAGCUCCAAGGUAUACACAUCCACCCAUCCGUCAUGAUGUUUCUUCUGGUAAAGGUUUGAGAUAUUGUGUGUUUUUGUG